AACGGCCGUACCAUGCUGAAUAUACCGGUUCUCGUUAGAUCACCGAAGUUAAGCAUCUUUGGGCGCGGGCAGUACUUGGGUGGGUGACCACCUGGGAACACUGCGUGCCGUU
RNAcentral lists this ribosomal RNA (112 nucleotides) under Caerostris darwini. Lineage: Eukaryota; Metazoa; Arthropoda; Arachnida; Araneae; Araneidae. The record is from RNAcentral.